UUUUGGUGGAGGCACUAGACUGGAUGUUGGAAGUGACGUUAGUCCCACCUUGACAGUCCUGCCCCCCUCCAGCGUUGAGCUGCAGCAGAGCAAGGCCACUCUCAUGUGCCUGGCCAACAAGGGCUUCCCCUCAGACUGGAAGCUGAGCUGGAAGGUGGACGGUAGCAGCAGCAACACCUGGGAGGUGACUGGGAGCCCCGGGGUCCUGGAGAAGGAAGGCCACUACAGCUGGAGCAGCACCCUGACCCUUCCUGUCGACCAGUGGAGGAAGGUGGGCUCUGUGACCUGUGAGGCCACCCAGGGCUCCCAGUCUCCUCUCUCUGAGACACUGAGGAGAGACCAGUGUUCUGAUUAAUGAAGAGAGGUCCUGUGUGGGAAUCCUUCCUCCAGCUGGAGCUUUUAGCAUAGUGGAA
Coregonus clupeaformis (lake whitefish) is the source of this 413-nucleotide non-coding RNA. Lineage: Eukaryota; Metazoa; Chordata; Actinopteri; Salmoniformes; Salmonidae. The record is from the annotation of a RefSeq genome assembly.